Molecule: long non-coding RNA, 1186 nt
Filed under: Polistes fuscatus (common paper wasp)
Lineage: Eukaryota; Metazoa; Arthropoda; Insecta; Hymenoptera; Vespidae
Description: uncharacterized LOC122521123
Source: RNAcentral
UACUUUUUAUAACAAAGUUUUUAAAUCAAUUAAGUUUAUAUCGAAAGUAAUAUCAUUGAAAAGAUGUGUACGAAAUUUCAGAGCAAUUAAAAAAAAAGCUUUUUAGUUAUCGUGCCUGUCAAAUUAAAAAAUAGAGUCUCGAGAAAAACGCGUUUAAAAUUUGAAUACAUAAAAAUUCAAUGAUUGUAGUGACUUAAAGAAUGGUUAGCAAUUCCAGCGCUAUAUAAUAGUCCUUCGGUAGCCUCAUAGAAGUCGUUUUUCUUAAAAAAUUCUUGGCGUGCUUGACGAGCUUCUUUACUUUACUUUACUUUACAAGCUGCACUGAUUUUUUCGAAUCACUCUCUGUUCAUCUAUACUUUGUCUGCGUAUGGUUUACACUAUUUGCCAAUUAUUCUAUCAAAAUUGUUUGUUACUUGUAAAAGAGAUAUAUAUUCUUCACUGAACAAUCAAGCUGAUAUAUAAGCGACAAUUUUAAUGAUUUUUAACACUGAAUGUAAGUGAUUUAGAGCGAGACGCCAAACGGUAGAGUUGAAACUCAUUUACCUUCCAUGUAUGGCCACCAAAAUUCUUUUUAGCAAAUAAUAUCGGGAUUAAUCUUCAAAUAUUAGCCUUACAUACUUAUGGACCUCUGUAUGGAGUGCAAGAUGUUGAAUAAGUUUUGAAUUUUCUACACAAGCUUCAGCUUUUUGCCACUUACACCAGCUGUCGGGACUCGGCACUCAGUCUCAAAAUGCUUUAGAUUGUUAUCUGUUGAGCAUAUAUGAUAUAUUUUUCGUUUUCCAAAUUGUUUCGUAUAGUAUAAGCUCAAAAACUAAUCUAAACAGAACUUACAGCAACACCGGCUCUGACCUUCGCUAAUGUACUUUGUAAUAACUAUAAAACUGUUCUUUCUUAGAAACAAUAUAUAUAAUAAUUUUCAAACAUCUGCUCACUCAAAUUUUUAACAUUGGAAAGAUUGGAAGGUAAAGGCAUUCAAAAACAGGUAGUCAAAGUCAACAGUUCUACUGUACAUCUGACGGUACUCGAACGUAACGUGUAAGAGGACGAGAGAGGUGGUCCUACGCAACGUUGCCCGUGGUAGACCGCUGAGAGUAAAGUAAGGUGUAAACGAAUAUCAACCAGGGUUUUUAUGCCGCAAGGCGUUUUCCUGACGAGUCAAUAAAGCAUUGCACUUCUAUUGGCUCAA